GAAGAACGAGACCAAAUUCAAAUUUUCAAACAAGAUGGAAACCUACAGCUUCCCAAGUUGGUUCCUUGGUUGGAUCUGUGCCGUGUCUGGAAUAUUGCAAGCCCUUUACAAUAAGACACUUUUACUUCUGCGAGCCUUUCAUGCAGUCUGCUGUCUGUUAGCGUACUGUGGCCGUCAUCGAGGUGACUUCAUGUGGAGACUUCAUGACUGGAUCCCUAUGGAGCUGCAUCUAAGAAGGAUCGUAAUAUCACGUAUCAGUUAGAUGACCAAGUUCAGGGCCUGUACGAGUGCUGCAGCUCAGCGUUGGAGCUCGGAUCAAUGGAAUACUGUUGGGGAUACAAUGGACCACACCCACAUACUGAUUAGACCCUCUGAUUGGAUAUCACAUGGAUGUCUUGACCACUACCAUGGCUUUCAUGCAAAUUGAUGAAGGUUCCAGAUUGAGCUGAAAUAAGAAGAAAACAAGGAGCGGAGGGAAAACUCAGGAUUGUGGAGAGGGUGGAUGUAUGUGCAGCAUGUGGGGACUUUCCAGUGGAUGAAGAUUGCCUCACUAGAGGAAAGUAUUUAUUCAGGAGUAAUUGAGAGAGAAAUAAUACAGCAGCCAAGAGCUCAGCCUGAGCGGAUGAGCAAGAAGAGGAUGUGGGUGAUUGAAACAUGGCCACAAUUUGUUUUAACUGGCUGUAGAAAUAAGCAUGGCGGAGCUCUUAGGGCUUGGUAGCUGUAAAUCUGGAGCCUUGCAGGAGUAUUGUCGGUUCAUAACCUUUCUCUCUUUCUUGUGCUCGCUCUCCCUCCCUUACGCCUCCCAGGGGUACAUUUAGCUGGGGAAAUGGAGCUUUUCUUCCCUUUAUUUGACUUCCUUGUCACUGGCAAACUCUCUCUCUCUUUCUCUCUCAUUCUCAUUCUCAUUCGCUCUCUCUCUCUCUC
Scatophagus argus is the source of this 924-nucleotide long non-coding RNA. RefSeq lists it as uncharacterized. The record is from RefSeq and is a predicted model, not a curated record. Lineage: Eukaryota; Metazoa; Chordata; Actinopteri; Scatophagidae. The transcript is spliced from 4 exons.